GGGGAUGUAGCUCAGGUGGGAGAGCGGUACGUUCGCAACGUACAGGCCAGGGGUUCGAAUCCCCUCAUCUCCACCA
Molecule: transfer RNA, 76 nt
Filed under: Desulfatiglans anilini
Lineage: Bacteria; Pseudomonadati; Thermodesulfobacteriota; Desulfobacteria; Desulfatiglandales; Desulfatiglandaceae
Also listed under: 3 other names
Rfam family: tRNA
About the family: Transfer RNA (tRNA) molecules are approximately 80 nucleotides in length. Their secondary structure includes four short double-helical elements and three loops (D, anti-codon, and T loops).
Source: RNAcentral